UACGUGUUCCCGAGAGUGCCCAGGAUAGUGAAGGUUCUACUACGUGAAAUCGUAUAACCGGCGCAUGAAUGCGCACCGCCUAUGGCGGUUCCGUCCAAGUCCAGAUACAUGUAGAAAGUCCUCAGGCCUCAACGUCGGUAACUGCAAUGCGAGAUCUGGCUAAGCCUAAGAUAGCCUCCAGAAAGGCGCUAGCCAAUACCGAGGGGCGUACCCGGUGAAAUCGGCGAUAGAGAUAUCCUGGACGUGGAUCUCCGAUGGGGGAUACGCAAUCUCGCUUGGACACACAACUGAUUGCUCACAGUGACGAAAUACGGUGGUGGAUCCAAGCAGGACUGAGAUUAGCCUGGUAGUUCACUCCAGAAAAUCGAUGUCGUCUUCGCAGCUAGUGCCCGUGAGCCGUGGCCUCCGGAACUAACCGCGUUCAAGUCGACUCUAGGGAGUACGCCGGCAAAGUCAAAGUCAUAUGAAUCGACGGGGACCGCACAAGCGGUUGGAGCAUGUGGUUUAAUUCGAUGCUACGCGAAGAACCUUACCUACUCUCGACAUCCAGAGAACUUAGCAGAGAUGCUUUGGUGCCUUCGGGAACUCUGAGACAGAUGCUGCAUGGCUGUCGUCAGCUCCUGUUGUGAAAUGUUGGGUUAAGUCCCGCAGCGAGCGCAACCUUAUCCUUUGUUGCCAGCGGUUAGGCCGGGAACUCAAAGGAGACUCCCAGUGAUAAUCUGGAGGAAGGUGGGGAUGACGUCAAGUCAUCAUGGCCCUUACGAGUAGGGCUACACACGUGCUACAAUGGCGCAUACAAAGAGAAGCGCCCUCGCGAGAGCAAGCGGACCUCAUAAAGUGCGUCGUAGUCCGGAUUGGAGUCUGCAACUCGACUCCAUGAAGUCGGAAUCGCUAGUAAUCGUGGAUCAGAAUGCCACGGUGAAUACGUUCCCGGGCCUUGUACACACCGCCCGUCACUCCAUGGGAGUGGGUGCAAAAGCAGUACUACUAGCCUAUACCGGCUACUAGAUGCACCGUAACCCCAA
This 1025-nucleotide ribosomal RNA is filed under the name Enterobacter hormaechei subsp. xiangfangensis. RNAcentral's name for it is "bacterial SSU rRNA". The stretch from base 434 to 1025 matches the Rfam family "Bacterial small subunit ribosomal RNA", at positions 874 to 1474 of the family's 1533-position model. Lineage: Bacteria; Pseudomonadati; Pseudomonadota; Gammaproteobacteria; Enterobacterales; Enterobacteriaceae. The record is from RNAcentral.